This 378-nucleotide RNase P RNA is filed under the name Gemmatimonadota bacterium. RNAcentral's name for it is "Gemmatimonadetes bacterium RNase P RNA component class A". It matches the Rfam family "Bacterial RNase P class A". From Rfam's summary of the family: Ribonuclease P (RNase P) is a ubiquitous endoribonuclease, found in archaea, bacteria and eukarya as well as chloroplasts and mitochondria. Its best characterised activity is the generation of mature 5'-ends of tRNAs by cleaving the 5'-leader elements of precursor-tRNAs. Cellular RNase Ps are ribonucleoproteins. The record is from RNAcentral. Lineage: Bacteria; Pseudomonadati; Gemmatimonadota. RNAcentral also lists the same sequence under 1 other name.
CGAGGGGAGCGUGGGGCCGCGGACCGAUGCCUUCGGGCGUGCGGUUCGAGGAAAGUCCGAGCUCCGCAGGGCAGGGUGCCGGGUAACACCCGGGCGGCGAAAGCCGACGGAAAGUGCCACAGAGAACAGACCGCCGGCAGCCGGGUGCCUGCGUGGCGCCCGGAAGCCGGUAAGGGUGAAACGGUGGGGUAAGAGCCCACCGCCCGCGCGGGUAACCGCCGGGGCACGGUAAACCCCACCCGGAGCAAGGCCAAGCAGGGGAGAGUGGUGGCCCGCCGCGUUGUCAUCCCCGGGUAGGCCGCAGCAGGCGCCGGGUAACCGGCGUCGCAGAUGAAUGGCCCCCUCGAACAGAACUCGGCUUACGGCUCCCCUCCGCGG